RNAcentral lists this ribosomal RNA (253 nucleotides) under uncultured bacterium. Its description in RNAcentral is "partial 16S ribosomal RNA". It matches the Rfam family "Bacterial small subunit ribosomal RNA", at positions 524 to 776 of the family's 1533-position model. The record is from RNAcentral.
UACAGAGGGGGCAAGCGUUGUCCGGAAUUACUGGGCGUACAGCGCGCGCAGGCGGUUGCCGACGUGCCGUGUGACAAACGGGGGCUCAACCCCCGAGGGCCACGGUAAACGGGGCGACUGGAGGACGGGAGAGGGAUGUGGAAUGCCCGGUGGAGCGGUGAAAUGCGUAGAGAUCGGGCGGAACACCAGCGGCGAAGGCGGCAUCCUGGCCCGAUACUGACGCUGAGGCACGAAAGCGUGGGGAGCAAACAGG